Molecule: transfer RNA, 72 nt
Filed under: Ictidomys tridecemlineatus (thirteen-lined ground squirrel)
Lineage: Eukaryota; Metazoa; Chordata; Mammalia; Rodentia; Sciuridae
Also listed under: 1 other name
Description: Spermophilus tridecemlineatus (thirteen-lined ground squirrel) tRNA
Rfam family: tRNA
About the family: Transfer RNA (tRNA) molecules are approximately 80 nucleotides in length. Their secondary structure includes four short double-helical elements and three loops (D, anti-codon, and T loops). Further hydrogen bonds mediate the characteristic L-shaped molecular structure. tRNAs have two regions of fundamental functional importance: the anti-codon, which is responsible for specific mRNA codon recognition, and the 3' end, to which the tRNAs corresponding amino acid is attached (by aminoacyl-tRNA synthetases). tRNAs cope with the degeneracy of the genetic code in two manners: having more than one tRNA (with a specific anti-codon) for a particular amino acid; and 'wobble' base-pairing, i.e. permitting non-standard base-pairing at the 3rd anti-codon position.
Source: Rfam by way of RNAcentral
GGGGAUGUGGCUCAUUAGUAGAGUGCUUGCCUAGCAUGCAUGAGGCCCUGGGUUCAUUCCCCAGCACCACAA